UUUUUUGUGGAGCAAUGGUAGCGCGUCUGACUCCAGAUCAGAAGGUUGCGUGUCGAUAGUAUUUUACGGUAAAUUCUAAAUAAA
This is a non-coding RNA of Cordylochernes scorpioides, 84 nucleotides long. Lineage: Eukaryota; Metazoa; Arthropoda; Arachnida; Pseudoscorpiones; Chernetidae. The record is from the annotation of a GenBank genome assembly.